This is a long non-coding RNA of Grus americana (Whooping crane), 1606 nucleotides long. RefSeq lists it as uncharacterized. The transcript has 2 exons. NCBI's taxonomy places the organism in Eukaryota, Metazoa, Chordata, Aves, Gruiformes, Gruidae. The record is from RefSeq and is a predicted model, not a curated record.
UUUUAUGAUGAAGGCAUUCUACAGCAAUAGUUGAACACUGUGAGAAAAUAACAGAAGAUUGGCAAGGAGGAAUCUAAACAUGCUCAAGUGACUUGCAGCUGGGGUGUAGCAAGACACAUCUAUCAUACUAAUUGUUGUUUAGCCUUGUGUAUUGGAGGAGUAGAACAUCUGUGUUUAGAUAACACAGGCCUGUGACAGACUGAGAGGCACGCUAUUGAACAUGCUUGAGAUUCCUGCCCUGCUGUGGGAAAGAUCAAAGCACAGCAGUGACCUAUGCCUGUGCGGAUCCUUGGGGUACAGGCAAAACCAGCAGGUUCGGUGAUCCUCCAGCAAGGACCAAGCUCCACGGUGCCUGCGUCCCUGCUGGCAUGCCUCUGCCCAGGUGCUGCUCCAGGGAUCCCCUGGCUGGCGAGAAAUGUGUGUGAAAUCUUCCUAGGAAGAAAGAGGUUUCUAUCCAGGAAGGAACAUCCAACUUCAAAAUAAACAAUAAGUGCAAACAAAUUCUUACUGAACACAGUUAAUGCCUUCAGAAGACAUGUGAAAGUAAAAAGUAGAGGAGACAGUAAGAUUGAGAAAAAGAAUGAAGAAUCGCAUUCAAACAGAAGGCAGAGCUGCAGUAUUUGAUAGAUCAAAAUACUUGCCUCAUCAGAGGCUUAAAAUCAAAUAAUAUUUCACCAAGAGAGGGAUCUGAGCAAAUUACAUUAAAUGCCUUAAGGAAUCUUCCCUUGGAUGAGUUAAAAAUACAAGAUAAAAAUACGAGAUAUUUGUAUGAGAUUAAAAGGAGAUAUUUUGCAGAAGAUGAUUUAGAAAAGCUUUUCGAAUCAAAAAGUCUCUGUAAUCUUUACUUUGGUAUUUAUGCUGAGUUAAUGCUAAUAUAUGAAUCAGUCACAUUGCUAUGCUCUCAGACAUUCACUCAGUGAUGAGAAAAAUCUCCUUUUUAUGACCGUUUAAUUAUUCAAUACCUGUCAGUUACUAGUGACAAAUUUUAAAAUCUGGAAGAUGUUAAAAUGUGAUUUUAGAUUUUCACCUCAGGUAAUAAUAGCAUCUGAUGGAAGAGCUGGUUCUGUGAGUUCUGUCUUUCCCAAAGUGGAUACAAGAAGCUUUUUUCUUUUGGAAGACACUCUGUUUUUAGGAACAUAAAAUAAUAGCUGCAGAUAACUUCAGGUAGAAGACACUUACUCAAGUAGCAGUUAACUUCCUCCUGUCAGAUGUUCCUAAAAAAGAAUUGCAGUUUCCUCUAGGCAGCCUCAGCGCCCUUUCCUUUAUUCCCUGAGAUUUACAGCUGAGGGUCCUGUAUCAGUACGUGAGACUUCACACAAGCCUUUCUGUAAGGACCCAUAGAAAUGAACGGCAUGUUGAGAAGUAAGCAAGCAAGGUCAGAAACUGAACCAUGGAACUCAUGCCCUCUUUAAGGCAAAGAAAACUGCAGGCUUUUUCUGUUGAGUUUGUAUUGUACUUGGCUUGUACUUGUGCAUCUAGCUCAAGGUUAACCCCAAAGGCUGUGGCAAGUGUAUAAUGCUUUUUUUUUGCCCUUUGAUGGGAUGAUUGGUGUUCCUUAAUUCUUCAGAUUGUUUACAUGGUUGGUCAAUAUAAAGAACUAGAAGAU